AACGAACGCUGGCGGCAGGCUUAACACAUGCAAGUCGAACGAGAUCUUCGGAUCUAGUGGCAGACGGGUGAGGAACACGUGGGAACAUCCCUUUCAGUUCGGAAUAACGUUGGGAAACUAACGCUAAUACCGGAUACGUCCUUCGGGAGAAAGAUUUAUCGCUGAAAGAUUGGCCCGCGUCUGAUUAGCUAGUUGGUGAGGUAAUGGCUCACCAAGGCUACGAUCAGUAGCUGAUCUGAGAGGAUGAUCAGCCAAAUUGGGACUGAGACACGGCCCAAACUCCUACGGGAGGCAGGAGUGGGGAAUAUUGGACAAUGGGCGCAAGCCUGAUCCAGCCAUGCCGCGUGAGUGAUGACGGCCUUCGGGUUGUAAAGCUCUUUUGUCCGGGAAGAUAAUGACUGUACCGGAAGAAUAAGCCCCGGCAAACUUCGUGCCAGCAGCCGCCGUAA
RNAcentral lists this ribosomal RNA (449 nucleotides) under uncultured bacterium. Its description in RNAcentral is "partial 16S ribosomal RNA". It matches the Rfam family "Bacterial small subunit ribosomal RNA", at positions 29 to 523 of the family's 1533-position model. The record is from RNAcentral.